UACGUAGGGGGCGAGCGUUGUCCGGAGUUACUGGGCGUAAAGGGCGUGCAGGCGGUGCGGUAAGUUUGGCGUGAGAGUCCCCGGCUUAACUGGGGAAGGCCUUCAAAAACUGCCGGACUUGAGGGCCAGAGAGGGACAUAGAAUUCCGGGUGGAGUGGUGAAAUGCGUAGAUAUCCGGAGGAAUACCAAAGGCGAAGGCAGUGUCCUGGCUGGCAUCUGACGCUGAGGCGAGAAAGCUAGGGGAGCGAACAGG
This 253-nucleotide ribosomal RNA is filed under the name uncultured bacterium. Its description in RNAcentral is "partial 16S ribosomal RNA". It matches the Rfam family "Bacterial small subunit ribosomal RNA", at positions 524 to 776 of the family's 1533-position model. The record is from RNAcentral.